UACGAAGGGGGCUAGCGUUGCUCGGAAUUACUGGGCGUAAAGCGCACGUAGGCGGCUCUUUAAGUCGGGGGUGAAAUCCUGGAGCUCAACUCCAGAACUGCCUUCGAUACUGUAGAGCUUGAGUUCGGGAGAGGCGAGUGGAAUUCCUGGUGUAGCGGUGAAAUGCGCAGAUAUCAGGAGGAACACCGGUGGCGAAGGCGGAUCUCUGGGCCUUACCUGACGCUGAGGCGCGAAAGCUAGGGGAGCGAACAGG
This 253-nucleotide ribosomal RNA is filed under the name uncultured bacterium. RNAcentral's name for it is "partial 16S ribosomal RNA". It matches the Rfam family "Bacterial small subunit ribosomal RNA", at positions 524 to 776 of the family's 1533-position model. The record is from RNAcentral.